This 67-nucleotide transfer RNA is filed under the name human gut metagenome. It matches the Rfam family "tRNA". From Rfam's summary of the family: Transfer RNA (tRNA) molecules are approximately 80 nucleotides in length. Their secondary structure includes four short double-helical elements and three loops (D, anti-codon, and T loops). Further hydrogen bonds mediate the characteristic L-shaped molecular structure. tRNAs have two regions of fundamental functional importance: the anti-codon, which is responsible for specific mRNA codon recognition, and the 3' end, to which the tRNAs corresponding amino acid is attached (by aminoacyl-tRNA synthetases). tRNAs cope with the degeneracy of the genetic code in two manners: having more than one tRNA (with a specific anti-codon) for a particular amino acid; and 'wobble' base-pairing, i.e. permitting non-standard base-pairing at the 3rd anti-codon position. RNAcentral also lists the same sequence under 1 other name. The record is from RNAcentral.
CCUGUAGCUCAGUUGGAUAGAGCAACGGCCUUCUAAGCCGUGGGUCGGGGGUUCGAGACCCUCCAGG